This is a long non-coding RNA of Dromaius novaehollandiae (emu), 2316 nucleotides long. RefSeq lists it as uncharacterized. Lineage: Eukaryota; Metazoa; Chordata; Aves; Casuariiformes; Dromaiidae. The transcript has 3 exons. The record is from RefSeq and is a predicted model, not a curated record.
CAAGCUGAUGAUAGAGGCAAAGGAAGUCUGUGGCCCUGAAAAGUCCCAAGCUGGUGUGGGGGAAAACUGUGUUACUGCAAUCUCCGUCUCGCAAAGGAGUUAACAGCAGUGCAGAGAAAUGCAGGGCCUUGCACAGAGCCAUUGCAGCAAUGCCCUCUCGUGGGGACUUCUUCUGCUGUUGAGUUCAAUCCCCUCUGAAUGAGUUGGAGCUUUAGGAUGCUGCAACUACGUUAAACUUCAUUUGUGCAGGGCUGGUUUCUUUUUUUUCUUUCUUUCUUUUUCCCUUUUUUUCUUUUUUUUUCUUUUGCCAUCAUGCCUGUCAGUUGGGGCUGUGAUUUUGUUUCCUCCUCACAGUCCUCUCAGACUUAGCAAUGCCAUCAACUCUUUUCCAGGCCAGAAUAAGCUCCCCAACACAAGAGGAUUCUCCAGCCCUAGUGGGACCUGAAUAUAGAUCAUCCAAGUCCCCCACCGACUGCCCUAGAUGCAGAGCUGUGCUUUCCCCACGGCUGAGCAGGGAUGCCAGGACCCCCUGCACAGCAACGCUGGAUCGCUCAGAGCACCGAGGAACGACUCCAGGGAGACAAGGAGACGAGCGGAGCUGGUUCGCGUUUCUUUGCUUUUCAGCCGAGGCCCCACUGGCCUGAUAAAUAUAAGCAAAUCAGGCUGUGACUAGAGGGGGGAGUUCAUUUGAUGUCCUCCUGGAGCUUCUCUGCAGAGAAAAUGUAGGAGGGGUUUCAGGAGUGAAAGCGGUGUCUCCCUUAUCCCAGUGAUGCCACAGGCUGGGGGAAAAAAAAGAAAAAACGGUUCAAGUUAAGCCAGGGAGAUGUCGUGGGGGGCUGUGCUGUGAAUGUGGUGCGGGCAAGAGGAUGAGGCUCAGAGCUGCCCUGCAGACCAGGAGGCCACUUCUUGCAGCCCCGCACGUUUGCUUCCCGAGGGCACAACCUGAGCAGGUGCAGGCUGCAAAAGCUGCGCUUUGGUUGCGCCGCUGGUGCCAGCUCAGUCCAGGCGCUCGCUAUGGCCACGCCACCCUCUCUCCAGCCAAAAAUGUGAUUAAACAGGGAGGAAAAAAGAAAUGUUCUGUCUCUAGUUGUUUUUAGGUGGCAGUGAUGAUCUCAGGUCUUGUACAGAGUCUGGCAGGCAGUAACUUGCAAGGAAUCUUUUUAAGCUGCCAGAUGAUUUCCUUCCCAUUUUCUUCCAUCACUUUUAUGGACGUGCAGCCAUGUGCAGGUUUUGUUGCGUCUCGAAGGGAGGUGGGAAAUCCAGCUCGCGCUUUGCAGUAAGUGCCUGAUUCAUCACUGUUAAUUCCUUUUGCCAUUUGCCGUAAUAACAAUAAUCAAAACGAAUUAAUUUGGUAUUAGUGGGAAAAGAACAUUGCGACUGCAUGGGAAUGGUGCUGCAAUUGAGUAGGAUAUGUGUCUAUUUAAUAAAGUAAGAUCUCUCUCUUUAUCUCUUUACUAGCUCUCUACCUACCUAUGACUACAUUUUAUUUUCAAGGACUGGCUAUUGUAUUAAUGCAUCUUAUAGUUAUACCAAAAUGUUUUACAUCUUUCACAGCAUGUUUUAAAUAUUUUAGUACACAUAAAGUAAAUUCAUUCAUUUCAUCCUUCCUUAGAAUGAGGAAGAUGAUAAAAAUUGUAGUUUCCUCUAGAACAAACCUACCUUCUUGCAGCUUAUUGGGAAUGAAACAAAAUAUAUCAAUUAGAUGACCAGGUGGAGUUGUUUCCUGCUUACAGGGUAAUGACUCUAGGCAGAUAGACUUAACUCUCCAGGUAUAAGACCACGGUGUUUAUUAACAAAAAAUGUAUUUAUAUGGGGCUAAUAGGAACCUCCAUCCAUUUAUUAGUACCAGUAGAUGAAGGUCAGACUGAAUAAAAGACAUACACGUAUAAAAUGAGAUGCGGGUGCCAGAUCUAGGGUCCUGCCCAGGGAGGAGACGGCAGAAGAGGCACUCCAACCGUGGUGAGAUCUCAGAGAAAUCCGGCACGCGCAAGGACCAGCUCCCUGGAGUAGCUACACCAGGACCUCCUGCCUUCCUUCAGGAGGGAGAAACCUCCACCGCGGGCAGUGUGGAAGGUGCUCGGCUGGUUGUUCUUGCAAUUAGCAGAGUAUUAUGAUUUCUCCACCUCCUAAUCUCCGACCCUGGCUUUAAGAGAGUGGGAACUUCUCAUGGGGCACGUUAAAAAUCAUUCCUUUCAUAAACCUUUUAGGGCAGAGCUCACCCUCACGCGGCACGACUGCAAGCUGAGGGGAGGCGGAGGGGGAAUUCACUGGUAGAAACGCAGCGCAGAGGCUCGUCCUCACCUGGGAGACGUGGUC